Molecule: ribosomal RNA, 165 nt
Filed under: uncultured Desulfovibrio sp.
Lineage: Bacteria; Pseudomonadati; Thermodesulfobacteriota; Desulfovibrionia; Desulfovibrionales; Desulfovibrionaceae
Description: partial 16S ribosomal RNA
Rfam family: Bacterial small subunit ribosomal RNA
Source: RNAcentral
ACACGUACUACAAUGGCCGGUACAAAGGGCAGCCACUCAGCGAUGAGGCGCUAAUCCCAUAAAGCCGGUCUCAGUCCGGAUCGCAGUCUGCAACUCGACUGCGUGAAGUUGGAAUCGCUAGUAAUCGUAGAUCAGCAUGCUACGGUGAAUACGUUCCCGGGCCUU